This 253-nucleotide ribosomal RNA is filed under the name uncultured bacterium. RNAcentral's name for it is "partial 16S ribosomal RNA". It matches the Rfam family "Bacterial small subunit ribosomal RNA", at positions 524 to 776 of the family's 1533-position model. The record is from RNAcentral.
UACGGGGGGGGCAAGCGUUGUUCGGAAUUACUGGGCGUAAAGAGCUCGUAGGCGGCUUGUCGCGUCGUCCGUGAAAACCUGCAGCUCAACUGCAGGCUUGCGGUCGAUACGGGCAGGCUCGAGUUCGGUAGAGGAGACUGGAAUUCAUGGUGUAGCAGUGAAAUGCGUAGAGAUCAUGAGGAAGACCAGUGGCGAAGGCGGGUCUCUGGACAGUUCCUGACACUGAGACACGAAGGCCAGGGGAGCAAACGGG